RNAcentral lists this ribosomal RNA (253 nucleotides) under uncultured bacterium. RNAcentral's name for it is "partial 16S ribosomal RNA". It matches the Rfam family "Bacterial small subunit ribosomal RNA", at positions 524 to 776 of the family's 1533-position model. The record is from RNAcentral.
UACGGGGGGUGCAAGCGUUGUCCGGAAUCACUGGGCGUAAAGGGCGCGUAGGCGGCUCUCUAAGUCACUUGUGAAAUCCUGGGGCUCAACUCCAGGGCUGCAGGUGAGACUGGAGGACUAGAGCUCGGUAGAGGCGAGUGGAAUUCCCGGUGUAGCGGUGGAAUGCGUAGAUAUCGGGAAGAACACCGGUGGCGAAGGCGGCUCGCUGGGCCGAUGCUGACGCUGAUGCGCGAAAGCGUGGGGAGCAAACAGG